UACUCCUACGGGAGGCAGCAGUGGGGAAUUUUGGACAAUGGGCGAAAGCCUGAUCCAGCAAUGCCGCGUGUGUGAAGAAGGCCUUCGGGUUGUAAAGCACUUUUGUCCGGAAAGAAAUCCUUGGCUCUAAUACAGUCGGGGGAUGACGGUACCGGAAGAAUAAGCACCGGCUAACUACGUGCCAGCAGCCGCGGUAAUACGUAGGGUGCAAGCGUUAAUCGGAAUUACUGGGCGUAAAGCGUGCGCAGGCGGUUUGCUAAGACCGAUGUGAAAUCCCCGGGCUCAACCUGGGAACUGCAUUGGUGACUGGCAGGCUAGAGUAUGGCAGAGGGGAGUAGAA
Molecule: ribosomal RNA, 340 nt
Filed under: uncultured bacterium
Lineage: Bacteria
Description: bacterial SSU rRNA
Rfam family: Bacterial small subunit ribosomal RNA
Source: RNAcentral